Molecule: ribosomal RNA, 253 nt
Filed under: uncultured bacterium
Lineage: Bacteria
Description: partial 16S ribosomal RNA
Rfam family: Bacterial small subunit ribosomal RNA
Source: RNAcentral
UACAGAGGUCCCAAGCGUUGUUCGGAUUCACUGGGCGUAAAGGGUGCGUAGGUGGUGGGGUAAGUCCGAUGUGAAAGCUCCGAGCUCAACUCGGAAAUGGCAUUAGAAACUACCUUGCUAGAGGGUUGGAGGGGGGACUGGAAUUCUCGGUGUAGCAGUGAAAUGCGUAGAUAUCGAGAGGAACACCAGUGGCGAAGGCGAGUCCCUGGACAACUCCUGACACUGAGGCACGAAAGCUAGGGGAGCAAACAGG